This 253-nucleotide ribosomal RNA is filed under the name uncultured bacterium. RNAcentral describes it as "partial 16S ribosomal RNA". It matches the Rfam family "Bacterial small subunit ribosomal RNA", at positions 524 to 776 of the family's 1533-position model. The record is from RNAcentral.
UACAGAGGGUGCAAGCGUUAAUCGGAAUUACUGGGCGUAAAGGGCUUGUAGGCGGUUAAUUAAGUUAGAUGUGAAAUACCUGGGCUUAACCUGGGAAUGGCAUUUAAUACUGAUUAGCUAGAGUAUGGUAGAGGAAAGGGGAAUUUCCGGUGUAGCAGUGAAAUGCGUAGAUAUCGGAAGGAACAUCAGUGGCGAAGGCGCCUUUCUGGACUAAUACUGACGCUGAGGAGCGAAGGCGUGGGGAGCAAACAGG